RNAcentral lists this ribosomal RNA (274 nucleotides) under uncultured bacterium. Its description in RNAcentral is "partial 16S ribosomal RNA". It matches the Rfam family "Bacterial small subunit ribosomal RNA", at positions 523 to 796 of the family's 1533-position model. The record is from RNAcentral.
AUACGGAGGGUGCAAGCGUUAAUCGGAAUUACUGGGCGUAAAGCGCGCGUAGGCGGUUUGAUCAGUCGGAUGUGAAAGCCCUGGGCUCAACCUGGGAACUGCAUUCGAUACUGUCAGACUAGAAUAUGGUAGAGGGUAGUGGAAUUCCUGGUGUAGCGGUGAAAUGCGUAGAUAUCAGGUGGAACAUCAGUGGCGAAGGCGGCUACCUGGACCAAUAUUGACGCUGAGGUGCGAAAGCGUGGGUAGCAAACAGGAUUAGAAACCCUAGUAGUCC